UUAAAUUCUUCCUUUCCUUGUAGGAAAAGUUUGCGCGUUACUUGCUUACCCAGAAAGGCUUGACAUUGCUCCUUUGACAAGGAGGCCCAGCAUCCUGAACCAUCCCACACCUUCCAAGACUCACCAAAACAAAACUAGGGAAGACCUGGCACAUCUGAUUGAUGGGCACAGGAAGAAAUAGUCUGCCUGGGAAUGACAAUCAUAAAGAACACAAGUAAAAAUAAAUACUGGUGAAGAUGAGGGGGAAAGGAAAUCCAUAUACAUUGUUGAUGAGAAGAUCUCUGACUCAAUGGGCAGUUGGCUGCCAUGGUGUGAGGUGCCCCACCACCCUGCUGAGACCACCCUGCAAAGGUGAACCGAGGCUUCCUGCCAACAGAGGGACCAGCUCACCAGCCACGUGAGAGCCAUCUUGGAGAUAGAGUCUCCAGCCCAGGUGAGCCUCCAGCUGACUCAGCACCAGCAGAGAACCAACUGCAACUUUAUGAAAAGUCUCCAGCCAGUCUCCCAGCUAAGCUGCUUCUGAAGUCCAGCUCCUCAGAAAUGGCAAAGACAA
Long non-coding RNA from Sciurus carolinensis (gray squirrel), 553 nucleotides. RefSeq lists it as uncharacterized. The transcript is spliced from 3 exons. The record is from RefSeq and is a predicted model, not a curated record. NCBI's taxonomy places the organism in Eukaryota, Metazoa, Chordata, Mammalia, Rodentia, Sciuridae.